This 73-nucleotide transfer RNA is filed under the name Candidatus Magasanikiibacteriota bacterium. RNAcentral describes it as "tRNA-Ile". It matches the Rfam family "tRNA". Rfam says of the family: Transfer RNA (tRNA) molecules are approximately 80 nucleotides in length. Their secondary structure includes four short double-helical elements and three loops (D, anti-codon, and T loops). The record is from RNAcentral. Lineage: Bacteria; Candidatus Magasanikiibacteriota.
GCGCCUGUAGCUCAGGGGUUAGAGCACAACGCUUAUAACGUUGGGGUCGGUGGUUCAAUUCCACCCAGGCGCA